This 483-nucleotide ribosomal RNA is filed under the name uncultured bacterium. Its description in RNAcentral is "partial 16S ribosomal RNA". It matches the Rfam family "Bacterial small subunit ribosomal RNA", at positions 28 to 507 of the family's 1533-position model. The record is from RNAcentral.
GACGAACGCUGGCGGCGUGCUUAACACAUGCAAGUCGAACGCUGAAGCUCAGCUUUUGUUGGGUGGAUGAGUGGCGAACGGGUGAGUAACACGUGAGUAACCUGCCUCCUUCUUUGGGAUAACGCCCGGAAACGGGUGCUAAUACUGGAUAUUCACUGGUCUUCGCAUGGGGGUUGGUGGAAAGGGUUUUUCUGGUGGGGGAUGGGCUCGCGGCCUAUCAGCUUGUUGGUGGGGUGAUGGCCUACCAAGGCUUUGACGGGUAGCCGGCCUGAGAGGGUGACCGGUCACAUUGGGACUGAGAUACGGCCCAGAAUGCUACGGGAGGCAGCAGUGGGGAAUAUUGCACAAUGGGCGCAAGCCUGAUGCAGCGACGCCGCGUGAGGGAUGGAGGCCUUCGGGUUGUGAACCUCUUUCGCUCAUGGUCAAGCCGCAACAAUGGUUGUGGUGAGGGUAGUGGGUAAAGAAGCGCCGGCUAACUACGUG